Molecule: unclassified non-coding RNA, 868 nt
Filed under: Hevea brasiliensis (rubber tree)
Lineage: Eukaryota; Viridiplantae; Streptophyta; Magnoliopsida; Malpighiales; Euphorbiaceae
Source: RNAcentral
GGACGGCCUCACCAAUAUUUCUGGUAGAAAUUAAUUGUCUCAAAAGAAAAACUUAGACAUAAAUAAUAAGAGCAAAAGUCAAGAAAGAUAUGUCUAUCAAACACGAUUAAAAAAACUCAUGACUACAAUUUAGAAUACUCAAAACUCUUAAGCAGUAACUGCUGCUUGGCUUGCAAGCCUUUUCCUGGCUUCUUCAAUGAUGGAUAGUUUUAUACCCUUGCCCUUGGGGAGGGACACCCACGGCUUCGUCCCCUUCCCGAUUGUAAACACAUUGCCGAGCCGAGUGGCAAAUUCGUGCCCGGUUGCAUCCUGAAUGUGAAUGGUCUCAAAGCUUCCCUUGUGCUUCUCUCUGUUCUUAAUUACUCCCACUCGACCUCUGUUUCUUCCACCAGUCACCAUCACAACGUUUCCUACAUCGAAUUUAAUGAAAUCAGCAAUCUUGUUUGAGUCAAGGUCCAACUUGAUGGUGUCAUUCGCCUUGAUCAGGGGGUCGGGGUAACGGAUAGUACGUCCAUCAUAAGUGUUCAGAUAAGGAAUUCCUUUCUGCCCAAACUGCACUGAGCGGACCUUACAGAGCUUGAACUUAGCCUCUUCAUCCCUGAUUGAGUGAAGACGGAAACGACCUUUUGUGUCGUAAAGAAGCCGGAAAUUCUCGUUUGUUUUGGGAAUGGAUACGACAUCCAUGAAGCCAGCCGGAUAGGUCUUAUCAGUCCUGACCUUAGCAUCAACUAAAACAUGGCGUUGCAUCAAAAUUGCAAUAACCUCACGGUAUGUGAGAGCAUAUUUCAAUCGGUUUCGCAAAAUGAGGAUUAAUGGGAGACAUUCCCUUGAUUUAUGAGGUCCUGAUGAAGGUUUUGGGGCAAAUGCA